This 468-nucleotide ribosomal RNA is filed under the name uncultured bacterium. RNAcentral describes it as "partial 16S ribosomal RNA". It matches the Rfam family "Bacterial small subunit ribosomal RNA", at positions 28 to 507 of the family's 1533-position model. The record is from RNAcentral.
GACGAACGCUGGCGGCGUGCUUAACACAUGCAAGUCGAACGGAAAGGCCCUGCUUUUGUGGGGUGCUCGAGUGGCGAACGGGUGAGUAACACGUGAGUAACCUGCCCUUGACUUUGGGAUAACUUCAGGAAACUGGGGCUAAUACCGGAUAGGAGCUCCUGCUGCAUGGUGGGGGUUGGAAAGUUUCGGUGGUUGGGGAUGGACUCGCGGCUUAUCAGCUUGUUGGUGGGGUAGUGGCUUACCAAGGCUUUGACGGGUAGCCGGCCUGGGAGGGUGACCGGCCACAUUGGGACUGAGAUACGGCCCAGACUCCUACCGGAGGCAGCAGUGGGGAAUAUUGCACAAUGGGCGGAAGCCUGAUGCAGCAACGCCGCGUGCGGGAUGACGGCCUUCGGGUUGUAAACCGCUUUCGCCUGUGACGAAGCGUGAGUGACGGUAAUGGGUAAAGAAGCACCGGCUAACUACGUG